Heterocephalus glaber (naked mole-rat) is the source of this 1077-nucleotide long non-coding RNA. Lineage: Eukaryota; Metazoa; Chordata; Mammalia; Rodentia; Bathyergidae. The record is from Ensembl.
UCUUUUGCAUCUCUCUGCAUUAGACAGUAUGUAAGAAAUGACAGCAGCCUUUUUUGCUCCAUGCAAAAAGGAAACUGUGCAAUAAGAAGAACGAUGAGAGACCUCAAAAAGGAUGCUGUGAAGGGUAUAGUCCUCCCGUAACUGAAGGAUUUCACCAAUGGAGUUGAAAGGAUGGAACAGACUAGCAAAGAGUCAGAGUGAACCCUAAUACAAAUGUCACCUAGCAGAAAAUGAAGAAGUGGGUGCUCCCACUUUCUUUGAUGCUCUUCCCUUCCCAAACUCCCAGGACCAUGGCUCUGCUGUCAGAGGGAAGGCUGUCUGACAAAGGAACAUCUUGGCCAUCAGUUGAUAAAGAGUACUUACUAAGCAUCUGCUAUAUGUCCUGAACAUUGUUCGCUCCUACAGGUAGUAAUAACAUUAACAAGAUACAGACAUAAAACAUAGAAACAUCUUUUCCAAACAUAGAAAAGCGAGCAGUUACCAACAAACCAGCUUCCAUAUGAGGGAAACACUCAGCCAUUUUAUGUAGAUGCUCACAUGACAAGAAACCAAGGCCUCCUGCCAACAGCCACAUGAGUGACACAUCAAGGAAGUGGAUCUUCCAGCCUCACUCAAGCCUCCAGUUUACUAAUAGUUCUGCCAACUUCUUGACAAGAACCUCAGGAAAGAUCCUGAGCCAGAGUCACCCUAUUAAGUUGUUCCCCAAAACCUGUUGCACAGAAACUGUGAGAACCAUAUGCUUGUGGCUUUAAGCCACAAAGUUUGGAUGUGAUUCAUCAUGUGACAUUAAAUGAUAUAACUUGACGAAAAUGAACUUACAAACCAUGCUAAAUCUUGCUGAUGGGAGCAAACAUUUUCACCCAAGAUGGACUGCUGAAGGAGAUCUGAGCACUUGAGAACACGUCAUUAUCCAAAGUGCAAAUUAUCAUCCACUGAGAACUUAGAGUUCCACAGUUGCUCCUGGAUAACUUUCACAACUGACGAUACACACUGAGCUGCUGAAAAGCCAAGCAAAGAGGGCCUGAUAAAGCAAGAAGUCAUGAAUGGAUAAAUUCUUUAAUUAAUAAACACCUAAGA